RNAcentral lists this ribosomal RNA (493 nucleotides) under uncultured bacterium. RNAcentral describes it as "partial 16S ribosomal RNA". It matches the Rfam family "Bacterial small subunit ribosomal RNA", at positions 28 to 523 of the family's 1533-position model. The record is from RNAcentral.
GAUGAACGCUGGCGGCGUGCCUAACACAUGCAAGUCGAACGAAGCACCUUUUAAGAUUCUUCGGAUGAUUGAUUGGUGACUGAGUGGCGGACGGGUGAGUAACGCGUGGGUAACCUGCCCUGUACAGGGGGAUAACAGUUGGAAACGGCUGCUAAUACCGCAUAAGCGCACGAGAGGACAUCCUCUUGUGUGAAAAACUCCGGUGGUACAGGAUGGGCCCGCGUCUGAUUAGCUGGUUGGCAGGGUAACGGCCUACCAAGGCGACGAUCAGUAGCCGGUCUGAGAGGAUGAACGGCCACAUUGGAACUGAGACACGGUCCAAACUCCUACGGGAGGCAGCAGUGGGGAAUAUUGCACAAUGGGGGAAACCCUGAUGCAGCAACGCCGCGUGAGUGAAGAAGUAUUUCGGUAUGUAAAGCUCUAUCAGCAGGGAAGAUAAUGACGGCACCUGACUAAGAAGCUCCGGCUAAAUACGUGCCAGCCGCCGCAGUAA